Molecule: ribosomal RNA, 427 nt
Filed under: uncultured Actinomycetes bacterium
Lineage: Bacteria; Bacillati; Actinomycetota; Actinomycetes
Description: bacterial SSU rRNA
Rfam family: Bacterial small subunit ribosomal RNA
Source: RNAcentral
AACGCGAAGAACCUUACCUGGGUUUGACAUGCACAGGACGACGGCAGAGAUGUCGUUUCCCUUGUGGCCUGUGUGCAGGUGGUGCAUGGCUGUCGUCAGCUCGUGUCGUGAGAUGUUGGGUUAAGUCCCGCAACGAGCGCAACCCUUAUUUCAUGUUGCCAGCGCGUUAUGGCGGGGACUCGUGAGAGACUGCCGGGGUCAACUCGGAGGAAGGUGGGGAUGACGUCAAGUCAUCAUGCCCCUUAUGUCCAGGGCUUCACACAUGCUACAAUGGCCGGUACAAAGGGCUGCGAUGCCGUGAGGCUUAGCGAAUCCUUUAAAGCCGGUCUCAGUUCGGAUCGGGGUCUGCAACUCGACCCCGUGAAGUCGGAGUCGCUAGUAAUCGCAGAUCAGCAACGCUGCGGUGAAUACGUUCCCGGGCCUUGUA